UUAACUGCAAAUUACUAAAACGGGAAUGGUGAUUUCCUACUGAAAGACUACCCGAAGUUUGAGAAUGUUAAAAGUGGAGAGGGAGGGACAGCUUUGAAGUUGUGCCACCUUUAUCCUUUUGGGAUCUGACCCGUCAAACAGUAAGCCUGGCGUUUUUCUGGUCCCUCAGCGAUUAACCAAGGCACAUUCGCACUGUCCAUAGACUGCAUAAUAUUUCUCAUAUUUAUUUGUACCCGUCUAAUAUUGAUAUUAGUGCAAUAAUUUAAUAGUGAUAAAUGUGGCAAGUUGUAUUUGUUAAAUUCCACAGAUCACGUCAUCGUCAAUUAAAUUAGUUAUUUGGGUUGAUGAAGGAGGAUGUAUCAGUCUGGUGAAAUUACCCGGAACUGGGUGUGUUUACUUUGGACGAAGCAAAUAAACAGAAAUUGAAACCGAAUCUUUUGGAGAGAGCCCGACUCAGGACAAGCAGAAGCUUCGGGUUUCUUUCACCUUGCGGCGUUGUGCAUCGACUCACGCAAAUGUAAUCGCCGCUUUACCGACGCUACAGUUGUCAACCUGUAUCUUAGAACGAAUAAAACUAGAAUUGCAGUGGAAGUACACGUUUUAAGAUGAAGAAAAACUCAGAUUAACCUCUCCUGUUUGGACAAAGGCUAAAUACUUGAAGGCGUUGGAGUUACCCGCGUCCCGAAUAUUGGAACCCAUGCGUUGGCUUCUUGACACCGAUGAAUAACGAGAAAUGAAAGGUGAUACGUUAUAUUUUAUAUAACAGAACAUAAAUGGAUGCAGAGCUUGCCAUCCCUUCUACUAAUUAAGGACACAGCCCUUUUUUUUGCUUGCCGGCUAAGAGGCCGUUUCAGAGUAAUUAUAAAACAAGCGACAGCGAUCAACAAACAGAGCGUCCAUGUGAACCAUCUCGGCGCAAACACAAAUCUUCACACACUGGGAAACGCUGGAAAUGGAACCGUGGUGGCAGUAGACACGGAUUAAUUUAUGGAGAUUUGCAGAAAAAUAAUAGAAAUCGAGCAAGUGCAGUCUGAAGACAAAUUAUUCUAACCUCUGUAAUGAUUUGAUAAUCGACCCAUAUUAUUUUAAUGUGCUUUAUAUUAUGACGUUAUUAUAUGUUAAAAGUUUUAAUUAAUUUAAAUAUCCUUGUGAAGUAAGUGGGUCAAGUUUACACAUCGAAAUGUCAGACAUGUCACAUCAUCUGUUAAAAGAAAUGUUACCCAAUAAAGUCAUGUUAAAACGGCGUUUUAUCCGUCCUGCAUGUUACUUUUGGAAGUUUGCGGCGAGGGCGGCGGAACGAACAACCUGGGCUCUCUGCCUCUAGAGAGGGGUAGUCUUUCAGUUUCAGUAUUCGCGGUCACAGAAUGCAGAUAUUCUUUCGAUCUCGUUGUCAAAAAAAUCGAGGGACAACUAUUGUAAACUAUAUCGAUCAAACGUUGUUCUUUACACGCGAAUAAAGUUGCUUCUACGCUG
Leucoraja erinaceus (little skate) is the source of this 1473-nucleotide long non-coding RNA. RefSeq lists it as uncharacterized. The transcript has 3 exons. NCBI's taxonomy places the organism in Eukaryota, Metazoa, Chordata, Chondrichthyes, Rajiformes, Rajidae. The record is from RefSeq and is a predicted model, not a curated record.